Molecule: long non-coding RNA, 1445 nt
Filed under: Anolis carolinensis (green anole)
Lineage: Eukaryota; Metazoa; Chordata; Lepidosauria; Squamata; Anolidae
Description: lncRNA (ENSACAG00000043182.1)
Source: RNAcentral
UCUUAUUACUCUUUUUAAUGCAAUCCAGUCUAUGCUUCUGGGUUUAGCAACUCUCCUGCUAAGAUAACCAACUGCAUAGCUGAUAUCGGGCCUGGUGUGAUUGGCAAUAUACAUUAAACUUCCAAUAAUUGAAUGAUAUAAAUCAGGCCUUUCAAAUAACUUCUGUGACUCUUGGUUCGCAUAAUCCACAACCAUGGGUGUAGACACGAUCUUUGCAUCAGUGAGUCCACAUUUUCCAAUCAGUUGUUCUAUCUUUGAUUUCUGACUUAGAAUUAUUUUUCUAUUAUUAGAUCUGUUCACUUCAAGGCCCACAUAAUUUUUUAGACUACCUAAAUCCUUUAUUUUAAAUUUUUAUUCCAGUUCUUUCUGUAUUUGGGCAACUCUAUCUGAGCCUUUCGUUACUACACAGACGUCAUCUACAUAAAUCAAAAGACCAGUCCAAUCAUCACCCACACCCCUGGUAUACACACAAGCAUCAGCAAUACUUCUAUUAAAACCAAGGCGACAUAGUUCUUCAUGCACACAAAGAUUCCAGCAACGCACUGACUGACGCAGCCCAUAAAUAGAUUUACGAAGAAGAUAAACUUCAUUCUUGUUUCCAGAUUCAAAACCUGGCGCUUGCUCCAUAUAAAUUUUUUCUACUAAAUUUGCAUUCAAAUAAGCAGUUUCAAAAUCAAAGUGUCUAAGGAUCAAAUUUCUUUUUGCUGCCAAAGUCAACAUUAAUCUCAGGCUUUCAGGCCUUGCAGUGGGUGCAAAAGUUUUGUCAUAAUUUUCAAAUUUUACUUGUGUAAAGCCUUUUGCAACUAAUCUGGCUUUGUAUUUCUGACUACCAUCAGAAAGUGGUUGGUUGUAGAUGGGUCUAUAAAAAGAAAACACUUCCUGACUGUCAGGACCCUGGCUGCAGAGCACCAAUAACCUUACACAGAGGCCAGUCUCUAUCUAAUAUCUUUAUUAAAGAAAUAUAUAAAAUCAAUAAAAACAAGUGAAGAAUAUAGUUCAAAAGCAGACCUUUCAGAUAAGGUCAAAUAUAGUCCAGAAAUGUAUUGUCCAAUAUAAGAUAUUAGAGUUCAAAGUUUUAAUCCACUUGACCGAAACACACACUUUGCCAAGCAAUAGUGUGGGGAAAUAACAGAGUCUUUAAAGUCCAAUGAAGCUUGACAACAAGGCUGGAAAUAAACUUGAUUCUUGACUAGAUCCGUGACUGGAGGCAAGACGAACAUGAAGCAUGAAACAGAGUCCGUGGUAAAACCGUGAGACAAGGCAAGGCUUGAAGCUUGAUCCGGGAAGCAAGGAACUGGGAUUACGAAGUCCACACACGAUCUCUCUCCUCAAGCUGAUCAAUUGACUCCGCAAAGAAUCCCUCGCGCCAAACACCUAUAUUGGGUCUCGUUUUCCCGCCAACAUAACUCUUUCCCUAGAGAACGAGAAGCGAAACCCAACUCUGU